UCUGCAAAUGCAGGGGUUUUUUUGCACUUUUGCACGCGUGCUCUUGCAGGAGCACCUUUCAUUUGCACUCACACCUUUCUUUUGCACCCGCAGUUCCGCAAACUUCCCGCAGCCAUUUUCUUCUGCAAAUCCAUUUUCUCCUGCGCACGGGCUUUUGCACGAGCGUCCCUUUUUUGGCACACAAGCGUCUUUCCUUUGCCCACGCUCUCCUGCUCACCCACGGGUGCACCCCGGGCAGGACCGAGCCACCGCAGCCCCCUGGGACCCCCUCGGCCCAGAGGUGCCCCUCCGAGCGGGGCAGCGGUGCCAGCGCUGACUGUCCCCGUCCCCAUCCCUGUCCCCUCUCCUCCCCAGAUGGACACCUUCUUCGACGUCACGGGCUCGCGGGUGCUGGGGGGCAGCGGGCGGAUGGUCCCCUUCACCAGCACCAGCUCCUACGUGGAUGCUCUGAGGAACCAGGGCAUCUUCGGGAACAUGGGGAAAAUCAACACGGAGGAGAUCCAGCGGUCGGUGCAGAAGAUCAUAGAGCAGUACACGUCGUCCACCCUGAAAAACUCCAGGUGAGGUGGGGCGGGGGGCCCGGUACGGGACCCCCACCGGUGCUGGGGGGGGGGAGGGGGUCAGGAGAGGGGGCUGGGGGCCUGAUCCUGCCUUCUCUGCAGCGGUUAAUGCCCGAGCGGCACGUGGAACGGAGGACGAGCCCAGGAGGUGCUUCUCACGGCACGGACGGCAAACCCCAACCGGGACCACCGGGACCACCACCGUCCUCCCCCCUGCCCCGGGGAAGGGGGGGGCCACCAGCGUGUCGGGGUCCAGAGCCCCCUUCUGCUGUCCCCCGAGCCCCCCCGCACGCUCGCCUCCUCCCCGCAUGUACCCGUAGGCUUGGAGAGGGGGCAGCUGUAAAUACAGCCGGCUCUGAGCACCGACGCAGCUCGUCGCACGCGUGUUUCGGCGCCGACGUUGGGAGGGGGGGAACCGCAGAGGCCACGGCCGGGAUGGGGAACGGGAACAUCCCGUCCCCGGCUUCA
Molecule: long non-coding RNA, 1028 nt
Filed under: Calidris pygmaea (Spoon-billed sandpiper)
Lineage: Eukaryota; Metazoa; Chordata; Aves; Charadriiformes; Scolopacidae
Description: lncRNA (ENSCPGG00000019576.1)
Source: RNAcentral